Molecule: ribosomal RNA, 2714 nt
Filed under: Escherichia coli
Lineage: Bacteria; Pseudomonadati; Pseudomonadota; Gammaproteobacteria; Enterobacterales; Enterobacteriaceae
Description: 23S ribosomal RNA
Rfam family: Bacterial large subunit ribosomal RNA
Source: RNAcentral
AAGGUGAUAUGAACCGUUAUAACCGGCGAUUUCCGAAUGGGGAAACCCAGUGUGUUUCGACACACUAUCAUUAACUGAAUCCAUAGGUUAAUGAGGCGAACCGGGGGAACUGAAACAUCUAAGUACCCCGAGGAAAAGAAAUCAACCGAGAUUCCCCCAGUAGCGGCGAGCGAACGGGGAGSAGCCCAGAGCCUGAAUCAGUGUGUGUGUUAGUGGAAGCGUCUGGAAAGGCGYGCGAUACAGGGUGACAGCCCCGUACACAAAAAUGCACAURCUGUGAGCUCGAUGAGUAGGGCGGGACACGUGGUAUCCUGUCUGAAUAUGGGGGGACCAUCCUCCAAGGCUAAAUACUCCUGACUGACCGAUAGUGAACCAGUACCGUGAGGGAAAGGCGAAAAGAACCCCGGCGAGGGGAGUGAAAAAGAACCUGAAACCGUGUACGUACAAGCAGUGGGAGCCUCUUAAUGGGGUGACUGCGUACCUUUUGUAUAAUGGGUCAGCGACUUAUAUUCUGUAGCAAGGUUAACCGAAUAGGGGAGCCGAAGGGAAACCGAGUCUUAACUGGGCGUUAAGUUGCAGGGUAUAGACCCGAAACCCGGUGAUCUAGCCAUGGGCAGGUUGAAGGUUGGGUAACACUAACUGGAGGACCGAACCGACUAAUGUUGAAAAAUUAGCGGAUGACUUGUGGCUGGGGGUGAAAGGCCAAUCAAACCGGGAGAUAGCUGGUUCUCCCCGAAAGCUAUUUAGGUAGCGCCUCGUGAAUUCAUCUCCGGGGGUAGAGCACUGUUUCGGCAAGGGGGUCAUCCCGACUUACCAACCCGAUGCAAACUGCGAAUACCGGAGAAUGUUAUCACGGGAGACACACGGCGGGUGCUAACGUCCGUCGUGAAGAGGGAAACAACCCAGACCGCCAGCUAAGGUCCCAAAGUCAUGGUUAAGUGGGAAACGAUGUGGGAAGGCCCAGACAGCCAGGAUGUUGGCUUAGAAGCAGCCAUCAUUUAAAGAAAGCGUAAUAGCUCACUGGUCGAGUCGGCCUGCGCGGAAGAUGUAACGGGGCUAAACCAUGCACCGAAGCUGCGGCAGCGACACUAUGUGUUGUUGGGUAGGGGAGCGUUCUGUAAGCCUGYGAAGGUGUACUGUGAGGUAUGCUGGAGGUAUCAGAAGUGCGAAUGCUGACAUAAGUAACGAUAAAGCGGGUGAAAAGCCCGCUCGCCGGAAGACCAAGGGUUCCUGUCCAACGUUAAUCGGGGCAGGGUGAGUCGACCCCUAAGGCGAGGCCGAAAGGCGUAGUCGAUGGGAAACAGGUUAAUAUUCCUGUACUUGGUGUUACUGCGAAGGGGGGACGGAGAAGGCUAUGUUGGCCGGGCGACGGUUGUCCCGGUUUAAGCGUGUAGGCUGGUUUUCCAGGCAAAUCCGGAAAAUCAAGGCUGAGGCGUGAUGACGAGGCACUACGGUGCUGAAGCAACAAAUGCCCUGCUUCCAGGAAAAGCCUCUAAGCAUCAGGUAACAUCAAAUCGUACCCCAAACCGACACAGGUGGUCAGGUAGAGAAUACCAAGGCGCUUGAGAGAACUCGGGUGAAGGAACUAGGCAAAAUGGUGCCGUAACUUCGGGAGAAGGCACGCUGAUAUGUAGGUGAAGUCCCUYGCGGAUGGAGCUGAAAUCAGUCGAAGAUACCAGCUGGCUGCAACUGUUUAUUAAAAACACAGCACUGUGCAAACACGAAAGUGGACGUAUACGGUGUGACGCCUGCCCGGUGCCGGAAGGUUAAUUGAUGGGGUUAGCGGUAACGCGAAGCUCUUGAUCGAAGCCCCGGUAAACGGCGGCCGUAACUAUAACGGUCCUAAGGUAGCGAAAUUCCUUGUCGGGUAAGUUCCGACCUGCACGAAUGGCGUAAUGAUGGCCAGGCUGUCUCCACCCGAGACUCAGUGAAAUUGAACUCGCUGUGAAGAUGCAGUGUACCCGCGGCAAGACGGAAAGACCCCGUGAACCUUUACUAUAGCUUGACACUGAACAUUGAGCCUUGAUGUGUAGGAUAGGUGGGAGGCUUUGAAGUGUGGACGCCAGUCUGCAUGGAGCCGGCCUUGAAAUACCACCCUUUAAUGUUUGAUGUUCUAACGUUGGCCCCUKAYCGGGGUUGCGGACAGUGUCUGGUGGGUAGUUUGACUGGGGCGGUCUCCUCCUAAAGAGUAACGGAGGAGCACGAAGGUUGGCUAAUCCUGGUCGGACAUCAGGAGGUUAGUGCAAUGGCAUAAGCCAGCUUGACUGCGAGCGUGACGGCGCGAGCAGGUGCGAAAGCAGGUCAUAGUGAUCCGGUGGUUCUGAAUGGAAGGGCCAUCGCUCAACGGAUAAAAGGUACUCCGGGGAUAACAGGCUGAUACCGCCCAAGAGUUCAUAUCGACGGCGGUGUUUGGCACCUCGAUGUCGGCUCAUCACAUCCUGGGGCUGAAGUAGGUCCCAAGGGUAUGGCUGUUCGCCAUUUAAAGUGGUACGCGAGCUGGGUUUAGAACGUCGUGAGACAGUUCGGUCCCUAUCUGCCGUGGGCGCUGGAGAACUGAGGGGGGCUGCUCCUAGUACGAGAGGACCGGAGUGGACGCAUCACUGGUGUUCGGGUUGUCAUGCCAAUGGCACUGCCCGGUAGCUAAAUGCGGAAGAGAUAAGUGCUGAAAGCAUCUAAGCACGAAACUUGCCCCGAGAUGAGUUCUCCCUGACUCU